This is an unclassified non-coding RNA of Callithrix jacchus (white-tufted-ear marmoset), 298 nucleotides long. It matches the Rfam family "Metazoan signal recognition particle RNA". Rfam says of the family: The signal recognition particle (SRP) is a universally conserved ribonucleoprotein. It is involved in the co-translational targeting of proteins to membranes. The record is from Ensembl. NCBI's taxonomy places the organism in Eukaryota, Metazoa, Chordata, Mammalia, Primates, Cebidae.
ACCGGAUUAUUAAAAAUCAUUUAGCCUCUAGUCCCAGCUACUUGGGAGGUGAGGUGGGAGGAUCACUUGAGCCCAGGAGUUCUGGGCCAUAGGACGCUAUGCUGGUUGAAUGUCUGUACUAAGUUCAACAUCACUAUGAUGACCUCCUAGAAGCAGGGACCACCAGGUUGCCUAAAGAGGGGUGACCCAGCUCAGGUCAGAAACACAGUCAAAACUACCACACUGAUGAUUAGUGGGAUUGUGCCUAUGAAUAAUCACUGCAUUCCAGCCUGGGCAACAUAGCAAGACCCCAUCUCUA